Molecule: long non-coding RNA, 492 nt
Filed under: Bos mutus (wild yak)
Lineage: Eukaryota; Metazoa; Chordata; Mammalia; Artiodactyla; Bovidae
Description: lncRNA (ENSBMUG00000002291.1)
Source: RNAcentral
CAUAGUAUUUCUUUAUAUUCUCAGAAUUGGAUUAUAUAUGCCUUUGAACUAUGCCUUUGAAUAGUCAGAGGAAGCUGAAUCUCUAGAAGUGAGACUGUUCGGCAUCCCUAAAAACACUGGCACUACCUAUGAAUAAGACAGGAAACCACAAGAAAAAGAAUACUUGAAAGACAGCUAGAUACGACUGAAAGGGAGUGACACUACAGGCAAAAGUGCUUUCUGAGUGCCAGCGAUGGUGCUGGGGCGCCGAGAAAAGGACGAUCUGAAUGCAGCGUACUGAUUGGUUUCACGUCCAAGAGCCUCUUAUGCUUUCUGCAUCUUUCAAACUCGGAUGCUUGCCUGGCUUGUGGUACUCUGAAUUGGGCGAGACGAGCAAACCGUGUAUUAGCAGCCAUUGCAGCCUGAAGCUUUGCUUUAUCUCAUCUGGGACUUAUCAUGCUGCUGUGCAUUGAAUUUAGGAAUAAACAAGAGGGAAAAACAAGAAGAGAAACA